CACGUCAUAUCCCUCCUCUGCCCCCUUGCUGAGCCGACCUGGCUGCUCUCUCCCGCAGAGAGCAGCCAGGAUGUCGGCAAGUCAUAGACUUAAAUGCUACCUAUGUGCUGAUGGAAGUUGUGUUGAUAAUUUGUUAGCGGAUACCUGUUUGCCUGAAGUUAGCUACGCCUGCAUGUCAUCCACAGUGAGCAAUGUGCACAUACGUGGCUGUGGAACAGAGGAGUUAUGUAAAUCUUCAAAAAUUUCUUGCUGUAAAACCGAUCUCUGCAACUCGGCCGUCAGACCCAGCGCAACGCUCCUCAUGGGAAUAGCCGCACUUGUCGCCCUCGGUGUUGCUCGUGUCUUCUGAGCAUAAAGAGGAUGUGAACCAGCCUGGAGAAGGAUCUCCACCGGAAACGAAACCGCGCAGAUUUCUAGCCAUUCAUAAUAUAAUAUUUCACGAAAGUAUUUGCACAAAUUGGAUUUGUCCAUCUCUUGUGUAAGCAUGAAAACUGAUUGGCUGCGGGAAUGUGGAAUUGGAUAUCUCAUUUGCUGAUUUACUAAGGGACAUUUCUCAAUAUUGACGUGUUGUAGUGAU
This is a long non-coding RNA of Pseudophryne corroboree (corroboree frog), 577 nucleotides long. RefSeq lists it as uncharacterized. NCBI's taxonomy places the organism in Eukaryota, Metazoa, Chordata, Amphibia, Anura, Myobatrachidae. The record is from RefSeq and is a predicted model, not a curated record. The transcript has 4 exons.